CCACAGUGGGCAACAGGCCAAGGUAAAGUGAUAGACAGCAUACUUUAAAGGUUUUAGAAUCCUCUCUGCAGAUUGAACUGAUCUGACGUGGGUUUGGGUUUGAUUAUGUUGUUGUACAGUAAUUUUUUUGUCACCAAGAUGGAAAGACACAACCCUGAGGUGCAACUUCACAACCCAUGCUUACAACAACCAAAGCAUCACUGAAGCAGUAUGCUCACAUUUGAACCCAUGAAGUCCAGUGGGGCAACAACCAAUCCAGCAUCUAGUAUAAAAACAUUGACUUUCUUCAUUUUGAACAGCAACUCCACUAGUUCAGUAAAACUUGAGUGAAAAUAUGUACUAGUUUUGGUUUGGAAAACACAACAUUAUCAAGGACUAAUGAAUUUCAUAUUAUUGCACAUCUACAGACCUGGAGAAAGUAUAAUGUUGAUUUGGUCACCUUUUACCCAACCACCACCAAAAACUUGUGUUUUUCCACCAUGACACAUGACUCCACAUGAUAUGCCUGAAAAUGAGAACAAAUGGUGGUUUGUUUACAAAUAAUACUGUAAUACUUUUGUUAAGUAUAAGUAGAAACAGCCUUCAUGUUGGGGCAUUAUGCUUUACUUACAUUAAUCGCUUUUGUCAGGCACUAUUAUUAGAUACACGUAAUCAUGCAGCUCAUUUCCUGAAUUUUUAUUCAGAUUACACCCACAGCUCCCUUCCUUUAUCAAACUUCUUUUUUUAUCAAGAUUAAUUUACGUAGUAGUAAUAAGAUAAAGUUCCUGUUUAAAAAGUUAACCAUUAUCAUGCCAGUAGACACAGGUUUAAGGACACGCCAGCCUUGUAACUGCAUGACCAGUUAUCACCAGCCUUUAUGUUAACCUACUGGCAGAACAACUAACAGUGAAUGUAGGACAGCAAGUAAAAAAAGGCUGUGAAAUUAAAUGAAGCACCGAAUACUCACAAUUAUGCUUUUACUACAGUUUACAGAAUCAUAAAUCAUUAAUCUAAAACUUUAUGCUUUCUAGACUUUACAGAUGCUGUAUUAAUACAAACAAUGUGAUCCCAACCCUUCCAUUUGCAUGAGGCAUGUGGGUUAAAGCGGAAAAGACUGAAUUGCAUGUCUGCAGGUCUCUCCCUUUUUUUUUUUUGGUUCACUCAGAUUCAUUGCCAUUGUCUAUGCUGCUGUCCAUACUGGAUUCAUAUUCAGCAGGAAGAAUGCUCAGCCCUUUUUCGUGGCAUGCACAAAGGAAAGACCUCAGGCUGGACCAAGAUGACCUUCUGAAGCUUGAAAAUUCCUGCUUUAUCACAGUUUUAACCCUUUGGGUACAGGCUUUUCUUUGCUUUUACGGGUAUUUUCAUUUUAUACACAAAUACUCUUCACUCAAAGCACAUAAGAGCACCAGAGCAUUGAAAUCUCACAGGUCAAAAGAGAGGUAUUUUAGCAAAUAGCCAUGUCAACCACACAUGGCCCACUCUUGUGUUGGUUGUUCAUCUAUCAGGAUUUUAAUGCUUUUACACAAUUGUUUUUUGAUCUUCCUAUAUGUUUAAAAUGAACAUGUAAAGAUUGUUUAUCAUUAAACACAUUAUAUAUUUUAAUGGACUUGACUUAUACAGCUUUUUCUGGUAUUAUGAUAAUUCAAAUCACUUUUACAUAAUCUCGGAUGCUUGCAGAAAAUGUCUUCUGGUUGCAUCUAGUACAAGGUAAACUUUUCCUCCCUUUUAUCUCUUCAGUGAUCCUCUUACAUGUUGAAGGUUGUGUUGGUUGUGCUUGCAUUUGCUGUAAAGUCUUAUGAAGCUAAAUCUGCAGCAUCCUUUCAGGCAUUCCUGGCAGGAACCGUUGCUGAAAAUGAUGGCAUGGGAACACCGUUGCAAGCAAAAACAAUUGCACGCUUUUGCUCCAAACUAAAUAUAUUAAAAAUUAUAAAAACAAAUUCAGUCACUCUCUCCACUGUCCGAAUCUGUAUGCAAUCAAUUCCCAAGUCCAGUAAAGUCUGAGUCAUUAGUGCUUAAGUCCAGGCUGAGUCACAAGUCCUAAAAAGGACUCAGUUGACUCCACUUCAGGUCCUGAGCCUAAGCCCUAAAGCACAGACCCAUUCACCCAGUCAUAGACAUAUUUAUACAACUUUUAUAGGCUUUCAUAUAAGUACCGAUUAAUGCUUAAUUAUCCCAUUCAUACACAAACACUACUGGUUGUGCCACUUAGGAGCUAUUUUCAAUUAAAAUCAGCGUCCUCCCCAGAUGUGAUUGAAGAAUGGCAACCUUUGAACUGAAGACGCUUCCAUUGAGCUUCUGCUGCCAGAAACACAGUCAAAGAAACAAAAGAAAACAUCACCAUAACACAGUAAAACAAUAGUUUGUGAAAUGCAUACUGUUCAUGAUUUGGCCUUGAAUUUUUUUUUUGUUUUCUGUUUUUUUAACUAUCUUCACAUAUUACAGUUUGACUGUUAAAGGAAAGUCAGACCUGGAGACUACUUAAAGAUCACAGUCACUCUCUUCCACUUCUCACUGUGGGAUUUCAAAUAGAAAAUGGAAAAGCUGAUCCCAUACCAGCUUCAAAAGUCAUGUUCAUCCUCCACUCCAUCUGCCCUCUGGCUUCAGCUCAUCUCCACCUGCUGACCGAUCCACAUUCCUUUGUUACCUGUAAUAUCCUGAUGGAUCAUUUUGAACAGCAACUCUCUCUCCUGCCCUCCAUCUCUAUGUUUUUCAUUCCCUUUGCAUGUGACUACAGCUGUGUUUUAACAGGAAUACCCUCUACAUUUCUGGUUAUUACAGUGUCAGUUCAAAUUUCCUUUAGUCCACUCUCUUUCCUGUUUACAUAUUGUUCCGGUUCUUUUUUCUGAAUGAUGGAAAACGGAUGCUGAGUAUUUAUUUAUCUCUUUUUACCUUAAGUGUUGCACUGUUAUCCCUGGCCUUGUUUUGGAUGUGUUUAUAAUGUUUCCUGCAUAAACCUCUGGUACAGCAUGUGACAAAGCAUUUUAAUAUUAUUAACCAUUUUUGGUAAUAAAAGGAGUUCCACAGGGUUCAUGUGUAGGCCCAGUCCUUUUCACUGUUACCAUCAUAACCAUUAUAAGCUAUUUUGCUAACAGUCGAGUAAAACUGUAUGCAGAUGACACUGCGCUAUUUUUUUCUGUGAAAAUAAUAAUCUUGAGUGCUACAUUAAUUUAAAGCACUUAUUUAUAUUUAGAAACAAAUUUGUGAUGUCUAACACAAACUACAGUAUAAAACUAUUAUUCUCAAUUUUUUAAUUAGAGCCAUUAUCAAGAGGCAUCAGUAUGAGUUUCUUUCUUUUAAUAGCCAGCCUAUGCUUUCCCGUUUUCACAACCAUGUUUUGUUUUUUUUGUUUUUUUAACUUAACUUUAACUUAUCUAUUGUGUUGGUUAAUUGAGUCUAUAUAUAAGACUGCAGCACUGAUUAUCUGGGAAAUGUCACCGACUGGAGUAUGUUGAACCCUUGCUGUUUCACUUGCAAUGCUAAUCAAUGCAUUUGGACCUGUCCUCUUUUUCUCUACAACUUAACAUGCUGGUAUGAAAUUUCCUGCUCAUUGAGAAAAAAUAGUAUAGAUAAGAUUCAUAAAAGCCACAGAUUUCAGAACAAGGUGAAAAACCUCCAAUAUUGGUAAGUGACCUCAGUUUACCCCUACAACUCUGAUCCCACUUUGCCUGAAGCGUCAAUGUUAUAAAAUAAAUAUUGUUUACAUUUAUUUAUUAAAUUGAUUCAUUGCCAGAAAUGUGCCACCAGAUUCACGUGUAGCACACAGACAAACAAUGGUCAAACAUUAAUGAAGGCUCUGCUGUAUCUAGAAAAUGACUGGGUGGAAAUGAUGCAAUCAGGAUGCAAAGACAGAAACCUCCCAUACAAUGAAAGUGAGGUCACAAAAACAAAUCAAAGUGAGUGAGAUUUCACAGAAAAGUCACUUGAGGAUAAUUCAUUGUCUUUUUUUUUUAGUUGUUAAAAUUGUGCCGUUUCACAUUUUUAAAGGAGGAAAUUGUUAUGGAUGUUUAAAUGUCCAUAAUGUAACAGAAGCUAUGAAAAAACCUGAGGCAAGGAGGAACUCCUUAAAAUGAAUGAAUAAAUGAAUAUAAUGAUGGAGCAAGCAGUUCUCUGGCUGCAGAACAAGUAGUCUGGAUUAAUUUGUGCUCCAAACAAAUGCACUGAUCAUUUUAGCAGAAGGUGCACACACCCCCCUUCCCCCUCCCUGACCUCUUGUUGAAUACAGUAAACAGGCAGUCUCCAGGAAGUCUAAAGUGCUUUCCUUUUUUCCAUUCAGCUUCACGACUCUUGUAGUUGUUUGUGUUUAACUGAAUUGUAAAAGCCUUACAGAAGUACUUGGCAGACGCUAGGAACACUGGAAAAUGUGUAUUAAAAGGAUUAGCUAGAGAAAUUGUUGGGAUUUCAGAGGAAAAUUGUACAAGAAGUUUAACCAUGUAGAUAAGAGGAAAAGAAAAAUAACUUUAUUUAUCCACGAAGGAAAAUUCAAUUGUCUUUAGUCUCAUAAAGAAAAAAAAGAAGCAUGUAUAAAUAUUUCACCUCAUUUUCAAAGACUUUGCAGCGUUUGUUUACCAUAUAAAACACUCAUGGGUUGAUAGAAUGAUAGAUGUGGUAAAUCUCCCAAAAUAAUGGAGUGUAUUUUAAACAUACACAUACAGCUGGUUUUAUACUGACCCAGUUGUUAUACUCUGUUAAAGAUAGUUGAGUAGCCAUAUGUCUUUAAAGAUUUGCUUCAGAGAUAACUUUUCUCUAAGUUAAAAACUUGCCUGGGUCAGUAUUUCAAGAUAUUACUAUGCUGGUUUUUCUAACAUCCUUCAAAAGUACAACCCUCUGUGUACAACAGUCUGUGAAUUAUUGAAAUCCCUUUGAAGACAGUGUAAAGACAGCAUAGUAAGUUUUGAAACUGAAGAAAAAAAAAACUCUUAACAACUCUGCAAACCAGUUGAGAGCCUCCUUUGUCAUUUUUUUAAAAUUCGUUGAUGCUUCAAGUGUUUUCAAUCAGUAACAAAUUGGGAUUGUAGGAGGGCCAGUUUAGCACAAGGACUCCUCUACGAGCAUGCCACACUGUUGUAGUAUGUACAGAAUGUGAUUUGGUAAUAUGUGCAAGGUCAUUUCUAAAAAAAAAAAACAUUGUCGUGAUGGCUGCAUAUAUUGUUUGGAAUAGGACUAUAAACAGUUGUAUCAUCUGCAUAUAAGCAUGUCCCUGCCGGUUGAUUUUUAUCUGUCUUCAUGAUAGACUGACAGCUCUUACGACUAAAUUUUUCACUCAUUUUAAAUACAUUUGUUUUCAUUUGUGGCAUCUUGUGGGAAUUGCUUUUGUGCGGGUCUUUGCAUAAUGCUGUUAUCACACCACCUAAAAGUUCAGAUCAAGGUCAGAUCAAAUGAGGAAAUUAAUAACAACUACUAUUCUGUAAAACAGAGGACAGUCAACUCUUAGGAAGGGCUCAGUGAUUAGGUUGGAGGGUAAGUAAGUCAUCCAAAGUCCCAACUGGAUAGACAAAUGUUGUAUCUCUUGGAGUAAAUACAUUCAACAGUUAAAUGCUCUGUUUAUAGUAAAAUAAACUAGGUGAAGAGGUAAAUGAUGAUGCGUACCUUAUUUGUGCUGGUUUAAAUAAGUACAAAGAACUAAGAACCCUUUCUAUUUAUUGUAGCUUAUCAGCUUAUGUGUUUCCUGGAAAAAGAAAAAAAAAAGACACAAACACAGAUCAAACAUUGAUUAACCCUUUGAUGCGCAACAUGGGUCAAAAAAGACUUGGCUGAGUUUAAAUUUUAUAUAUCUUCUCAAAAAAUUAAUUCCAUCAGUCGGUACUCAAGGAAUUCCUCAAUUAACUUGUUUUUGACGACCCUACAUCCUUAUGUUAAUUUUUCUUUUUUUACUUUUAGAAUAAAAACCGUUUUUGUAUCACUACCCCUCUAAUGCACAACAUGGGUCUAAAAUGACCCGUAUCCAUUUUCAAUGUUAUUUCAUGUAUGGCUGAGUGUUUCUAUGGUAUAUCUUUGACAUAAAUUAAUUUUAUCAUUCACUAUUCCAAGUAUGCAGUAAAGAUCUUGUUUUAGUUGAGCACAAAUAAUCAUUUUUAUUUUUCCUUUCUUACGUUAUGAGGAAGCACAGAUUUUGUAUUUCUACAUCAAGUUUACAUACAUGGGUCAGAAACGACCCACAUACAGUGACUGUAGCAUUUAGCAUGAAAAGACCGUCUAAUACAUGUAAGUAUGGUUUUUCAAUUGUUCUGACAUUAUCUUAGAAAUUAUUGGAUGACAAUUGUGAAAUAUAAUUGUACAUAGAUUUGAUUUGAUUAGGUUUAGGUUACCUUGAGAGUGAGGACAUUACAUGUUGGAAAGUUACACAAUUACAGGUAAAACAGCUAGUGUUAUUUCAGCUAGCUAUAAUCAGACGCAUGUGUAUGUGACAAAAUGACAAAUAAACAUGUUGCUAAUACAAAAUACAAAAGUGUUUGGCCCAUAGACUGUAUAAAGAAUGGACAGAGUCUGCCUCCUCGCUGGGUGAAGCCGAGAACAGCACCCCCUGUUUACAGGCUGCAGUACAGGUCAUAAAUCCCGCCUCCGCCAGCAAACCUUAUGGAGCUGUGGAAAAACUUUAGAAAUUUAUUACACAGAACAUAACCCCCCCCCCCCGCUUGUGAUGUUGACAUGUAGUUAUUGA
This 6637-nucleotide long non-coding RNA is filed under the name Xyrichtys novacula (pearly razorfish). The record is from RNAcentral. Lineage: Eukaryota; Metazoa; Chordata; Actinopteri; Labriformes; Labridae.